CGCAAUCAGCCGAUCGGUGGCGAUUGCUUUCAGCUCGGCCAUGCUGCAAUUAAUUUCGUCUCGAAAUUAUAAUUUUUUUUUUUUUUUAAUAUUAAGUAGUACCGCUUAUUAUUUUAACAGGUUUUAUUCUAUCUGCGGAAAGGAUCGUAUCCAGGGGUUUCUGCUUAAUAUUAAAGCCUCGGAUGUCCUUAACGACAUAGCGACUAUUGCCCAGACUUUUUGCAAUAAGGUAAGGCCCCUUAUAAUUUGGUUUGAGCUUUGAGCUCGUACCUAUUUUGGGGGCAGUGUCCCUUAUCAAAACGUACUCCCCUGGUUUAUAUCGCGUUGGCUUGAUACUGUCCUCAUCGACGGUGACAAGGGCCUUCGUGAAAUUGGCUAGAGAGUGAUCCGAAUGGCUGCGUUGGUCAAAACCUAACAUUAGUUUUGCUGGACUUGAUUUAG
This is a non-coding RNA of Nylanderia fulva, 441 nucleotides long. NCBI's taxonomy places the organism in Eukaryota, Metazoa, Arthropoda, Insecta, Hymenoptera, Formicidae. The record is from RefSeq and is a predicted model, not a curated record.